UAGAUACUACAUACACACAUGGAUAAGAAACAGGAAGUCGGUUUCCAAUUAAAGCUGUACAAGAUCAAAGGAUGACGUCAUAUCCUGUGUGCCAUGCUCUUGGCUAAAAUGGUGGCUCUAUGAAUGCUAAGUGCCGUUAGGGAGAGAUUGUUACCAUCCCGUAAAUGUCUGUAAAACAAGUUUGUGCGCAUGCGCAUCAGUGCAAAAUGGAACUUAGUUUUUGUCAGGACUGCUCUAGGGACUUUUAAAGCCUUGGGACUCUCUGAAAUAAAAAAAACUAAACCCUAAACCAACUAAGGGGCUCCUAAAUUGAGUAGGGACGCUCUAAAAAAAAAACCGCCACCCUAACCCCUAAACCCUAAAAACAAUAGCUAAGUCCUAAAAAAACAAUAGCCAACUAGGGGACUAACAUAACUAGAGGAGAAGGCUAAGUCAGUAGAAAAGGUAAAAAGUUAAAUUUUGAAAGUAAAAAAAAAAGAAAAGCAAAUUUGCCCUGCCCUGAGCUGGAAUCGAACCAGUACCACGUCCACAUUCUGCCCCACUGAGCCACCACGAUCCUGCUGCCUCAACCCCACUGAUUGUCGUAUCUAUACUUAAUUUCUAUAUUGUUAUAAGAUAGUAUACUGGGGCGAAGCCCCAGUAUAGUAUACAGGCGAAGCCUGUAAAAGUCCGUUGACGGAUAGUUUACGGGAUGGUAACAAUCUCUCCCUAAUGGCUAGUUGAAUAAGUGAGUGUAUUUUAUAUUUUUUGAAAGUGGUCAUUUUAACCAGAUUAGAUUCAAUCAGUGUCUUUGUUGAAGAGCUAUGUUACAAAAUGUGUUGGCCUCUCAUAUUUUUGUUGAACCACUUUUACUCUACUGUAGACUUGUUUGGUGAGUGUCCUUUAGAUAUAAUAUGAACACAACUAUGCUGCGUGUACUGAAGGUAUUGGCUUGUCUGUGCCACUUAUAAUGACAGAUUUAUAGCCAUUUUAGUUGUUUUUCAGUGGUGUCAUUUGUAAACCACUUGUAUAGAAAACUGUCCAGGUUAUGAAUGUUUUUCUUUGAUUUAUCUGUUCCUUUAUGACUUUUGUGUGUACUGCAAGUGUUUUUAUAUUUUUAAUUGCUUUGACCAGCUCAAAACGGAGCAAACUAUCAGUCACUAUAG
Amphimedon queenslandica is the source of this 1145-nucleotide long non-coding RNA. RefSeq lists it as uncharacterized. The record is from RefSeq and is a predicted model, not a curated record. The transcript has 2 exons. NCBI's taxonomy places the organism in Eukaryota, Metazoa, Porifera, Demospongiae, Haplosclerida, Niphatidae.